GAGUCGUAACAAGGUUUCCGUAGGUGAACCUGCGGAAGGAUCAUUAAAGAGUAAGGGUCUCCGGCCCGAACCUCCAACCCUUGCUUGUUAAAUACUACCUUGUUGCUUUGGCGGGACCGUUCGGUCUCGAGCGCACCGGUCUUCGGAUUGGUGAGCGCCCGCCAGAGUCCAACCAAACUCUUGUAUUAAACCAGUCGUCUGAGUAUAAAAUUUUAAUUUAAUUAAAA
This 227-nucleotide unclassified non-coding RNA is filed under the name plant metagenome. Its description in RNAcentral is "partial contains small subunit ribosomal RNA and internal transcribed spacer 1". The stretch from base 1 to 46 matches the Rfam family "Eukaryotic small subunit ribosomal RNA", at positions 1786 to 1831 of the family's 1831-position model. The record is from RNAcentral.